GGGUGCGACCAUACCAGCACUAACGCACCGGAUCCCAUCAGAACUCCGAAGUUAAGCGUGCUUGGGCGAGAGUAGUACUAGGAUGGGUGACCUCCUGGGAAGUCCUCGUGUUGCACCCC
This 119-nucleotide ribosomal RNA is filed under the name Olea europaea subsp. europaea. The record is from RNAcentral. Lineage: Eukaryota; Viridiplantae; Streptophyta; Magnoliopsida; Lamiales; Oleaceae.